AGCAAUGAUUCUUUCUAGUUUUUUUCUAACCAUGAUCUUAUAGAUCCUCUGCUGAACCAAUAAGUCCUUUAUCCUUUGCUGCCACAGGAUAAAGUUUCUUUAACCAUCGAACUUCUUAAAAUCUACCUUGAAACUGCUUGACGCCAUUACCACAAUCAAACAUGAUCACACCCUAACACCCUUCUGCAAUCACGCACCAACAAACA
This 206-nucleotide long non-coding RNA is filed under the name Elaeis guineensis (African oil palm). RNAcentral's name for it is "long non-coding RNA (EGUI_LNC024797)". The record is from RNAcentral. Lineage: Eukaryota; Viridiplantae; Streptophyta; Magnoliopsida; Arecales; Arecaceae.